RNAcentral lists this ribosomal RNA (513 nucleotides) under uncultured bacterium. RNAcentral describes it as "partial 16S ribosomal RNA". It matches the Rfam family "Bacterial small subunit ribosomal RNA", at positions 28 to 507 of the family's 1533-position model. The record is from RNAcentral.
GACGAACGCUGGCGGCGUGCUUAACACAUGCAAGUCGAACGAGAGCGUAGAGACAGCUUGCUUUUUCUACAAUCUAGUGGCAAACGGGUGAGUAACGCGUAAACAACCUGCCCUACGGAUGGGGACAACAGCUGGAAACGGCUGCUAAUACCGAAUACGUUCCGAAAGUCGCAUGACUAUCGGAAGAAAGGAUGGCCUCUAUUUAUAAGCUAUCGCCGGAGGAGGGGUUUGCGUCUGAUUAGCUAGUUGGAGGGGUAACGGCCCACCAAGGCGACGAUCAGUAGCCGGUCUGAGAGGAUGAACGGCCACAUUGGAACUGAGACACGGUCCAGACUCCUACGGGAGGCAGCAGUGGGGAAUCUUCCGCAAUGGGCGAAAGCCUGACGGAGCAACGCCGCGUGAGUGAAGACGGCCUUCGGGUUGUAAAGCUCUGUUAUACGGGACGAAUAAUCUUGUGGUUAAUACCCAUGAGAAGUGACGGUACCGUAAGAGAAAGCCAUGGCUAACUACGUG